GCUCUGGGUUAGUCGGGUCCUAAGCUGAGGCCGAUAGGCGUAGGCGAUGGAUAACAGGUUGAUAUUCCUGUACCACCUAGUAUCGUUUUAAUCGAUGGGGGGACGCAGUAGGAUAGGCGAAGCGUGCUAUUGGAUUGCACGUCCAAGCAGUAAGACUGAGUGUUAGGCAAAUCCGGCACUCAUAAGGUCAAGCUGUGAUGGGGAGAGGAAAUUGUUUCCUCGAGUCGUUGAUUUCACACUGCCAAGAAAAGCCUCUAGAUAGAUAACAGGUGCCCGUACCGCAAACCGACACAGGUAGUCAAGAUGAGAAUUCUAAGGUGAGCGAGCGAACUCUCGUUAAGGAACUCGGCAAAAUGACCCCGUAACUUCGGGAGAAGGGGUGCUCUUUAGGGUUAACGCCCAGAAGAGCCGCAGUGAAUAGGCCCAAGCGACUGUUUAUCAAAAACACAGGUCUCUGCUAAACCGUAAGGUGAUGUAUAGGGGCUGACGCCUGCCCGGUGCUGGAAGGUUAAGAGGAGUAGUUAGCUUCUGCGAAGCUACGAAUCGA
RNAcentral lists this ribosomal RNA (547 nucleotides) under Oenococcus oeni. RNAcentral describes it as "bacterial LSU rRNA". It matches the Rfam family "Bacterial large subunit ribosomal RNA", at positions 1372 to 1915 of the family's 2925-position model. The record is from RNAcentral. Lineage: Bacteria; Bacillati; Bacillota; Bacilli; Lactobacillales; Lactobacillaceae.